This 294-nucleotide signal recognition particle RNA is filed under the name Desulfurococcaceae archaeon MEX13E-LK6-19. RNAcentral's name for it is "signal recognition particle sRNA". It matches the Rfam family "Archaeal signal recognition particle RNA". The record is from RNAcentral. Lineage: Archaea; Thermoproteati; Thermoproteota; Thermoprotei; Desulfurococcales; Desulfurococcaceae.
GCCGUGGGUAGGGCCCCUAAACCCCGCUUAGGGCUAGGGGCCAGAGCAACCUCUCGAGCCCCUAUGCGCGCCCGCUAACCCCCACGCCCACCAAUGACCCCCGCCCCGUGGGGCUAGCGGUGGCGGAGCCCUCCUCGGAGGAGGAGGGUAAACCGCCUUAACCGGGGGAACCAGGCCAGGCCCGGAAGGGAGCAACCUAACCCUGGCCGCUAGCGUUCACGGGUCACCGGGGCCGAGGGAGGGCGUGGAAGGGCUCUGGCGGGAAAGCGGUAGGGGCUCGAGAGGGGCCGCGGC